Molecule: non-coding RNA, 103 nt
Organism: Otolemur garnettii (small-eared galago)
Lineage: Eukaryota; Metazoa; Chordata; Mammalia; Primates; Galagidae
Source: Rfam
UUGCUUCAACAGCAUAUAAACAAAAAUUGGAAUUAUGCAGAGAAGAUUAGCAUGUUCUGUGUACAAGGAUGACAUGCAAAUUUGUGAAAUGUUCUAUUAAAAA